Molecule: ribosomal RNA, 119 nt
Filed under: Pteropus alecto (black flying fox)
Lineage: Eukaryota; Metazoa; Chordata; Mammalia; Chiroptera; Pteropodidae
Source: RNAcentral
GUCUAUGGCCAUGCCACUCUGAACAUGCCCGAUCUCAUCUGAUCUCAGAAGCUAAGCAGGGUCAGGCCUGGUUAGUACUUGGAUAGGAGACCACCUAGGAAUACUAGGUGCUGUAGGCA